RNAcentral lists this ribosomal RNA (2162 nucleotides) under Actinomyces graevenitzii. RNAcentral describes it as "partial 23S ribosomal RNA". It matches the Rfam family "Bacterial large subunit ribosomal RNA", at positions 385 to 2546 of the family's 2925-position model. The record is from RNAcentral. Lineage: Bacteria; Bacillati; Actinomycetota; Actinomycetes; Actinomycetales; Actinomycetaceae.
UCAAUAGUGGUACUAAGUGUACGAAAAGUAGGGCGGGACACGUGAAAUCCUGUCUGAAUAUGGGGGGACCAUCCUCCAAGGCUAAAUACUCAUCAUCGACCGAUAGUGAACCAGUACCGUGAGGGAAAGGCGAAAAGAACCCCGGGAGGGGAGUGAAAUAGAACCUGAAACCUGAUGCAUACAAACAGUGGGAGCACCCAUGUGGUGUGACUGCGUACCUUUUGUAUAAUGGGUCAACGACUUACAUUCAGUAGCGAGCUUAACCGAAUAGGGGAGGCGUAGGGAAACCGAGUCUUAAUAGGGCGAACAGUUGCUGGGUGUAGACCCGAAACCGAGUGAUCUAUCCAUGGCCAGGUUGAAGGUGCCGUAACAGGUACUGGAGGACCGAACCCACGCAUGUUGCAAAAUGCGGGGAUGAGCUGUGGAUAGGGGUGAAAGGCUAAACAAACUCGGAGAUAGCUGGUUCUCCCCGAAAACUAUUUAGGUAGUGCCUCGAGCAAGACACUGAUGGGGGUAAAGCACUGUUAUGGCUAGGGGGUUAUUGCAACUUACCAACCCAUGGCAAACUAAGAAUACCAUCAAGUGGUUCCUCGGGAGACAGACAGCGGGUGCUAACGUCCGUUGUCAAGAGGGAAACAACCCAGACCGCCAGCUAAGGUCCCAAAUGACAGAUUAAGUGGUAAACGAAGUGGGAAGGCACAGACAGCCAGGAUGUUGGCUUAGAAGCAGCCAUCAUUUAAAGAAAGCGUAAUAGCUCACUGGUCGAGGCGUCCUGCGCGGAAGAUGUAACGGGGCUCAAAUCUAUAACCGAAGCUGCGGAUGCCAGUUUACUGGCAUGGUAGGGGAGCGUUCUGUAGGCCGAUGAAGGUGCAUUGUAAAGUGUGCUGGAGGUAUCAGAAGUGCGAAUGUUGACAUGAGUAGCGAUAAAGCGGGUGAAAAGCCCGCUCGCCGAAAGCCCAAGGUUUCCUACGCAACGUUCAUCGGCGUAGGGUGAGUCGGCCCCUAAGGCGAGGCAGAAAUGCGUAGUCGAUGGGAAACAGGUUAAUAUUCCUGUACUUGAUUCAAAUGCGAUGUGGGGACGGAGAAGGUUAGGUUAGCAAGCUGUUGGAAUAGCUUGUUUAAGCCGGUAGGUGGAAGACUUAGGCAAAUCCGGGUCUUCUUAACACCGAGAAGUGAUGACGAGUGUCUACGGACAUGAAGUAACCGAUACCACGCUUCCAGGAAAAGCCACUAAGCUUCAGUUUGAAUUGAACCGUACCGCAAACCGACACAGGUGGGCAGGAUGAGAAUUCUAAGGCGCUUGAGAGAACUCAGGAGAAGGAACUCGGCAAAUUGAUACCGUAACUUCGGGAGAAGGUAUGCCCUCUAAGGUUAAGGACUUGCUCCGUAAGCCCUGGAGGGUCGCAGAGAAUAGGUGGCUGCGACUGUUUAUUAAAAACACAGCACUCUGCUAACACGAAAGUGGACGUAUAGGGUGUGACGCCUGCCCGGUGCUGGAAGGUUAAUUGAAGAUGUGCAAGCAUCGGAUCGAAGCCCCAGUAAACGGCGGCCGUAACUAUAACGGUCCUAAGGUAGCGAAAUUCCUUGUCGGGUAAGUUCCGACCCGCACGAAUGGCGUAACGAUGGCCACACUGUCUCCUCCCGAGACUCAGCGAAGUUGAAGUGGUUGUGAAGAUGCAAUCUACCCGCUGCUAGACGGAAAGACCCCGUGAACCUUUACUGUAGCUUUGCAUUGGACUUUGAAGUCACUUGUGUAGGAUAGGUGGGAGGCUUUGAAGCAGAGACGCCAGUCUCUGUGGAGCCGUCCUUGAAAUACCACCCUGGUGUCUUUGAGGUUCUAACCCAGACCCGUAAUCCGGGUCGGGGACCGUGCAUGGUAGGCAGUUUGACUGGGGCGGUCUCCUCCCAAAGAGUAACGGAGGAGUUCGAAGGUUACCUAGGUCCGGUCGGAAAUCGGACUGAUAGUGCAAUGGCAAAAGGUAGCUUAACUGCGAGACCGACAAGUCGAGCAGGUGCGAAAGCAGGACAUAGUGAUCCGGUGGUUCUGUAUGGAAGGGCCAUCGCUCAACGGAUAAAAGGUACUCCGGGGAUAACAGGCUGAUACCGCCCAAGAGUUCAUAUCGACGGCGGUGUUUGGCACCUCGAUGUCGGCUCAUCACAUC